UUUUUGUGGCCUUUUUCCGCUGUACGAACUUGGCGCCCCGGCUUUCGGGCGGUUAUUUUUGGGCGCGGCUUUGCCUGCGGCCUAUUUUUAGGACACGGAAGCCCCUCGCAAAGUCUCGCGACAUUCCGGGUCCGGCGGACGAAGUUGGCCAGCCCCAGCCGCCAAGGCUAUAGCCCACCCGUUUUUGUCGCCUUUUUCCGCUGGACGAACUUGGCGCCCCGGCCUUCGGGCGGUUAUUUUUGGGCGCGGCUUUGCCCGCGGCCUAUUUUUGGCACACGGAGGCCCCUCGCAAAGUCUCGUGGCAUUCCGAGUCCAGCGGACGAAGUUGGCCAGCCCCACCCCCCAAGGCUAUAGCCCACCCAUUUUUGUGGCCUUUUUCCGCUGGACGAACUUGGCACCCCGGCCUUCGGGCGGUUAUUUUUGGGUGCGGCUUUGCCCGCAGCCUAUUUUUGGCACACGGAGGCCCCUCGCAAAGUCUCGUGGCAUUCCGAGUCUGGCGGACGAAGUUGGCCAGCCCCACCCCCCAAGGCUAUAGCCCACCCGUUUUUGUGGCCUUUUUCCGCUGGACGAACUUGGCUCCCGGCCUUCGGACGGUUAUUUUU
Molecule: long non-coding RNA, 602 nt
Filed under: Citrus x clementina
Lineage: Eukaryota; Viridiplantae; Streptophyta; Magnoliopsida; Sapindales; Rutaceae
Description: Citrus clementina (C. clementina) long non-coding RNA (CCLE_LNC005079)
Source: RNAcentral